RNAcentral lists this long non-coding RNA (1765 nucleotides) under Homo sapiens (human). RNAcentral describes it as "non-protein coding RBMS3-AS3:10". The record is from RNAcentral. Lineage: Eukaryota; Metazoa; Chordata; Mammalia; Primates; Hominidae.
CUUUUCUACUUUGUCAAGUCGGCUCUGUUCUCCUGAGCCCAGAGUCUCCUAUUUAGAUAAAAGGUCCCUGGUACAAAUCCAGCUUCCUAGUCAAGAAGAACAGAGAAUUUGGGCUCAGUGCACACAUGGUGUCCAUCCACAUACAAGCCGCACCACCCCUAAAGCAACUGGCUUCCACCGAGGGGAACUGGUUUCUGGAAGCUGUGUGAGUGCAUACGUGUUCCUUGGAUAAAAAUAAGGAUGGCAGGAUACAAUGAGAAGACCUGCCUUCUGCAAACCCGGAGGCAAGCCCUCAUCAGACACCAGGUCUGCUGCCACCAUGAUGUUGGACUGCUCAGCCUCCAGAACUGAGUCUUGAGACUUCUCUUCUUUUGGUGUGGAUUCCGGAACUCCUUUCUGAAGCAAGAGGCAAAUAUCUCUCAGCAGAGAAUGCCAAGACCAAUCACUUAACCAUGGCAAUCUUACUCAGCAUGGUAAUUCCCACCCUGAUGGUCCCAAGAUGGCUGCAGCAGUUUCAGCCAUGUUAUCCUAAUCCACCAACAUCUGGAGGUAUCUGUCUUUUCAAUCUCCAUCUAUUACAAAUGUAGGAUACUUUUACCAGAAGGUCCUCCUCUAGACUACUACUCAUGUUUCAUUGGACAAAUUUGGUCCCAUGGAAUUUCUUAAGUCAUUUACUGAUGAGGAAAGUGGAAUUAUCAUGACUGGAUUAGACUACCUAAGAUUCACCACUCCUGAGCCUGGAGAAAGAUAAUUUUCUCAGAGCAAACAACUGCAUAUGGCUGAAGAUAGGAAUGAACUAUAAAACAAAAUUGGAGUCCUCCAGGAAAGAAAGGGGGAAUUAAAGGGAAAUGAUUGUGUAGGCAAAACACAAUAGUCUCCAAUGCCAAAUAAACUUUGUUUUGUUACUCUCUCAUCUACUUUAUCACAUUUUUUUCCUUGUUACCCUUCUCACCUUAAUUCAUCACCAAUAAGCCUCUUUAAAUCAAAUUUUUGAUGGUCAUCCAUAAAUCUCCAAGAAAUUGAGUGAUAAUUAACAUUACAGUGAUAAUGAGCUUAAGGUCUUGUUUCUUCUUGAAAGCUGGGAGGGUAGGAGGGGAGUGAAUGGUAAGAAAUUACUUAGUGGGGGCAAUACUCAUUAUUUGGGUGAUGGGUUACCCUAUAAGUCCAGACUUUACCAUUAUACAAUAUAUCCAUGUAACAAAACUGCAUUUGCACCAUUUAAAUGUAUACAAAUUUUUAAAAAGAAAGCUCUAAAAGAUAUAAACAUCUUCAAGAUCUAUAGGAAUAAAGCAGUCAUGGGGGUGUGGCAGGCAAGAAAGGAUUUAAGGCCCAGUUCGCUCCUAUGACCUCCUCACUUUAUCUCCUAUCACACUACUCUGCACACUCUGUUAUGGCCACGUCGGCCUCUCUGCAGUUCCUCUAAGAGGCCAGCAUUCUCUCACCCUGGGGACUUUGUACUUUACUUCCCUGUGCCCACACCAAGCUUUCUUCAUAUAACCAUGUUACUUAAUUCCUCCCUUACUAUGAGUUUCUGCUCACGUGCCACCUUAUUAAAGAGGUUUGUCCUGACCAUCUUAUGUAACAUAGCAACUUUAUUUCAUUCUUUGUCCUAUUACCCCAGUUUAUAUAUGCUUAUGGCUCUUAUAACCACCUGACAUGGUAUGCAUUUAUUUAUUGUUCUUAUAAGUAAUUAUCCAUGAGACAAGUGUUUAUAUUUUGUUCACAGUUUGUUUCUCUGAGCCUAGUAUAGUGCCUGACACAUAUA